Molecule: long non-coding RNA, 1428 nt
Organism: Passer domesticus (house sparrow)
Lineage: Eukaryota; Metazoa; Chordata; Aves; Passeriformes; Passeridae
Exons: 3
Source: RefSeq, a predicted model, not a curated record
CCUUCCCCAGGACAAUGCCUGGGAAAGUUGUCUAUGGCCAGAGAGCUGCUGCCACAGCACCAGAGUGCCACCUAAGCCCCAGCAGGACCCCUCACAGAUAUUGUGCUGGUUUUCCCUCUUAUUCAGUGCCUCACGUGAAGGUGGGAGGAAAUUCGGGCUCCUGUGCAUUCAAUGCCUGCAUCUGCUGAGGACACAGCACAGCCCAGGUGCUGAGCAGCUGUCACAGGAUUGAAGAAACCUAAUCUUUUUAGACUGGAACCAUUUUGACUAUCUUUGGCUGCUUUCUCAGGAUGAAGGGUGUCACUCAUCCAUUUGAGCAGCUACGACAGCUCAGAGUCCUCAGGAGAACCUACAAAGGGAUUUCUUGGAGCCUUUCCUCUUAAUAACUCAUUUCUUAAAUGGCAGCACUUUUUUUCCCCUGUGACCUUUAUUAGAAAACAGUGAGGGGGAAACAAAAGGAGUGCUUAGUGUGCUCUGCUCCGUGGAAUUCCCCUGGGUUCUUCUCCCUGGGAUGCUGUGAGAUCCCAGUCAGGCUGCCUGUGUGUGCCCAUAAAGCACCUGUGACAAGGCCUCAUCAGCACUUGUACCAAAGGCCUCUGGAAAGAGGGACUCAGUGAGCUAGGGGUGAUGUAAAAUCCUCUGGGUCUGUCUGGACAAAGGCAGGUUCUAUUUUGUGACUGACUUCCCUGAGAGCUGGUGCUUUUUUUUCUGGGCUUUGCCAAGGAAUGAGAAGACCAGGUGAAGUUCAGUCAAAACAUGGGUGGGAGGAGAAAAAUGUUACAGCCCAAGACUCUGCCUAGCACAGAAAAUACUGGGAUUGAUGACUGUGGACUGUGCUUGCAUGUGAGUUUUCAGUAUCUCCAGAGAAGUGGAUUUUGUUGGGAGCAGUUUAAAAGAGAGAUGGCAGAUGAAAUUUCAUGUGGCUUUCCAGUUCUAUUCAUUUUCCCCCCCUGUUAUAGUUCCAUUUGCCUCAUUUAGUGCUUUUGUUUCUUGCCAGAAUUCUCAGAUCAAUAUUUGCAAAAAGGAUUUUAUGUGGGAUCAGCUAGAAAUAAACUGCACAAUCGUAAGUGUAUAUGCAAAAGUUUAUAACCAUUCUUCUUGGCCAGCUGCAGAACAGAGACACAAAGUCAAUGUCUGCAAAGAGUUUGCAUGAUUAAAUUUCAGAAUUACUUCAGUAUGAUCCCAUAGGAAAGCCUCAUCUCUUGAUUUCCUCUAGGAAAAUCUCGCCCCAAAUUUGAAUUUGGCAACUUUCUUUUUGGAAUGAAGGCACACAAUAUUAAACCCCCUUACUUGUUGCAAACUCUAGUAUAAAUGUAAAAAGUUUAAAUAAUCCAUUUGAAGCUGCUACUUACGAGGUUUUUUUUUCUGGAGCCAAUUUUGUGGCCUUCAGAAAUACCUGGUCUGAAUUUACCUGAAAAGGAAAUUACU